Nothoprocta perdicaria is the source of this 345-nucleotide long non-coding RNA. RefSeq lists it as uncharacterized. The transcript is spliced from 3 exons. The record is from RefSeq and is a predicted model, not a curated record. NCBI's taxonomy places the organism in Eukaryota, Metazoa, Chordata, Aves, Tinamiformes, Tinamidae.
AUAUGUAUCCAUCAGCCUGUAAAGCGUCUUUAAAUAUUCUCCUGCAGGCAUCUUUUCAUGUACAGACCAAGUUACCAUGUUCCUGCCUCUGUGAGCUUGAGAAUACCCCACAGCCACAAACUGUAGGCACAGUAUCUACAAAUUAUAAUAGCUAAUGUGGAACCCUGAGCUAUAGGCCUUGUCCGUAUAGUGAGUUACUGCCUCUCCAUCUCCCUAAGUUUGGGAAGACCCAGCAAAUACAACACAGGUGCUCAAGAAAUCUCUAAGGGACAUGUUAUUUGUGGUGUCUCACAAAAGGACCACAGUCCAGCCAUCCCUGGAGUUCAGAGCAGAGCUCAGCACAGG